Molecule: small RNA, 677 nt
Filed under: Histoplasma ohiense
Lineage: Eukaryota; Fungi; Ascomycota; Eurotiomycetes; Onygenales; Ajellomycetaceae
Description: hypothetical lncRNA
Source: RNAcentral
UGCACGGGGCAUAUGUCAUCGGCUGGGCCAAGCUUCUUCCCGAGCUUCUUCCCAAGGAAUCGAAUGCAUUGUCGCCAGCCAUUCUAUCCCAUGAAGUGAGACCCUCACAAGAGGAUUGCCAUGGUCAUGGUAAUGAUAAAAUAGCCUGUCAUUGUGCUGUGCUGUGCAUAGUACUGGUACACAUCUAUUGGAUCCUGGGCGAAGAAGAGUGGGGAGAAACAGAGGAAACACAGACGGAAGGGGAAGGGUCCGGACAGAAAUUGAAUAAACCGUAGAUCUUCAAUUUCUCGGCUGUCCCCCAUCCUAUUUCUAAUUCUGUCGAGUUUGUUUGUUUACCCUAUUGGAGAAACCUAAGGGGUGUCGUUUAGUGCAAGGAUGCUGUGCAGUAAGAUAUCACGCAUGCACCACGGCUUGGUAGCAUAAAUACCUCCACCCACGUUACGAACUCACACUCCAUCAAACCUGUUUUCGACUCAAUAUAGACAUUGCUGCGGGUCCGGGUGUGUUGCACGCUGAACAAAGGGGUCAAGCGUUCCAUCAGCCAAUAAAACUUCAUUUACAUCGCACGACUGCAGUCUUCCAUUCAGCUUCUUUGCAUCUGCUACUUUGCUUCACUUCAUACAUACACUGCAGUUCAUGCAGAUAUCCAUCCAUCCAUAUACUGUACCUACCACCAU